UUUUUUUUUUUUUUUUUUAAUCUCGCAGAAGUAAAAUUCUGUAUCCAUUAAAUAGGAAUUCUCUCUUCCUUUCCCCCCCAGUUCCUGGCAGCCACCCUUCUGCUUUGUCUCUGAGCAUUACUGCCCUAGGAACCUCUUGCAAGAGGAAUUGUACAGUGUUGGUCCCUUUAGGGCUGGCUUAUUUUACUUAGUGUAAUAUCUUCAGGGCUCAUCCACAUUGUAACAUGUGUCAGAAUUUCCAUCCUUUUUAAGGCUGCACAUUAUUCUAUUGUAUGUUACAUGCCACAUAUUGUCGAUCCACUCAUCUGUUAAUGGGGUCUUGGGUUGCCUCCCCUUGGGUUAUUGUGUCUAUGGGUCUGUUGCCAUGAGGGAUCAGGAGUAGAGUCAGUUCUGUUUGUGUAAAGGAACCUCUGGAGAGCUUCGAAAUAUUUUGAAAUAGAGGAAGAACAACCAGCCACCUGGAUCUCCAGGAGUAAUUCAGCCGACUAUCUGAUUGUGUGCUCAAGUUUUCAUUAACUUGAGGAGGGAGCAGGCAGGCAGACCUUAAUGUAGAGGAAAUGAGAAGCAGAGACAGCGAAGGAUGUUCAGAGAGUCAUUUUGGUACGUAAUGGUGAAACUUAGAGAAGAGGGAGAAAGGGCUCGACUGCCUCCACACAGCAGAGGGUUUGUGCAGUUUACCCUGCAGAAUGUAAGCCGCACAGGAGACAAAUGCAGGUGAGCUUUUAUUUUGUGGAACUACCUGUGUCUUUUAGAUGGAGGAACGGGCACCAGAGUGCAGAGGCUCCUUCUCCAGGAUGGGGCCAAGGUCCUCUGGCUCCUGGGGGAGGCGUGCUGGGCCCUUCCUGAGCUGCUGGCACCAAGUGCCUUGCCACCCCGGAGGACUUCUGGCCUCCCCAGAGUUCCCUGGGUGGAGUUUGGUGACUUCCCUUUGAUCUCUGACUGUAGGUAUGUGUUGCUUAUUAAUAAGAAUAUUAUACUAUUGCUAAUUCCAGACUAUGUAUCUUGACCACUGUGAAAAGACCACCAAAUGGAAAGGAUUUGAAAGGAACCAUUUCUUUUCAGAAACUUCCCAGAUGUAGUGUACAGCGCAUCCUCCACAGCUGCCUUGUGCUGGCUCUCAUCAUACCCAUCAAACCAUGUGUUCAGCCAGUUGCAUGUGUCCAGAUAGAACCAUAGGAAAAUUUGAUGAAUGUAUGUGUUGCCCUUUAUUAUUUAUUAUCCAUGUUAUAUUUUUCUUACCUCAACUAAUUAGCUUCUCAUUCCUUUAAGUCCUCACAGCACAAGGUUGCCACUGACUUCUCUUCCCCUCACUUAACCUUGCAUGAUAUUUGGUUUUUAACAACGCACAUUAUUCCAGAAGAAUGUCUUGUUUAAUAGUUGUCAGAAAGAAAGAGCUCAGGGGCGCCUGGCUGGGUCAGUUCAUAGAGCAUGCUACUCUCAAUCUUGGGAGUUAUGAGUUUGAGCCCCACAUUGGGUAUAGAGAUAACUGAAAAAUAAAAUCAGAAAGAAAAAGAGAGAGAGAGAGAAGAAAAGAAGAGAAAAGAGAGAGCUCCAUAAGAUAGGAAGGUGUGAAUGAUGAUGUUAAGGAUUCUGGGGCAAAAAGGAUUGCAACCAUUUUCUUUGAUUAGGUCUCAGGAAGCACUUUGAAUUUUACAUGGUCAUCCUAUGAUUCUAUCCCAAACUAUUCUUCCUGCCUUUUCCUAGAUGAUUUUAUUGCAAAGCAGCAGCAAAGUAUGACUUGUCUUUUCUACUAAAGCCUUAAAAGAUAGUUUAUUCCCAAAUGUAAACAUUUUAGUAAGCCUUUUGUUUAGUGACUCAUUAAUUUGAUGAGGGAAAAUGUCCUAAUAAAGAUAAAGAAACUGUAAACUGUUUCAAAAGCUGCAGAGGGAAAAAUGUUAGGGCUCUGUAGGUCAACUACUUCCCCUUGUUCUUUGCAUUUCAUUUGUUGCUUGGUCAUGGGAACAGAUAAACUGGUCAUUUAAGGUUAUGUCCUCAUCUUAAUUCUCUUCUAUAAAUUUAUACAUACACACUAAAUCCUGGAUGUUUUACUACUGUAGUGUGUCUCUUUGUAUGAACAGGGACUACGUAUGGAUUGAGUUAUUUUAUGAAAAAUAGCAAAUCCAAUUUCCCUCUUUCACAAAAUAGUACAUUAAAUGUGUCACUAAGUUAGCACCAAGGAAAAGCUUGGUUAAUUUUUACUAGCAAACAGUUUGAUCUUCCCAGAAAUAUCAUAAACACUGAGGAUGAAGAGUCAAAGAUCCCUAAGUAGAAUCAAAGAUAUGAGAGAAUAGGAAAUCACCCUAGUACUGACUGUGGUUACAUAAGGCAUAAUCUGCAUUAUCCAUUCCGUGUACAGUUACUCUGGAGGUAUUAUGACCUUAUGUUCUACAUACUUUUGGUAAGAUUAAAUGUUCCAGCAUGGAUGUAACUACUUCUAGGUUUUAUAUGAGUGUUAAAUGAAGUAUAAACUUACUCCAUGCAAAAUACUCUUUGUAACAAAAGCAUAUCAAUCUUUAUUAAAUCCAGGAGUAAACAUCAUAGAGGAUUUAUUUUUUUUUUCAUAGAGGAUUUAAAACAGUUAUCUAACCCACUUAUAAACUGGAAGAGAAAAAAAUAAAAAUUUUUUAAAAAUUAAAAAAAAAAA
Molecule: long non-coding RNA, 2644 nt
Filed under: Canis lupus familiaris (dog)
Lineage: Eukaryota; Metazoa; Chordata; Mammalia; Carnivora; Canidae
Description: lncRNA (ENSCAFG00845008015.1)
Source: RNAcentral